RNAcentral lists this ribosomal RNA (402 nucleotides) under Enterobacter cloacae. RNAcentral describes it as "bacterial SSU rRNA". It matches the Rfam family "Bacterial small subunit ribosomal RNA", at positions 1001 to 1400 of the family's 1533-position model. The record is from RNAcentral. Lineage: Bacteria; Pseudomonadati; Pseudomonadota; Gammaproteobacteria; Enterobacterales; Enterobacteriaceae.
CAGAGAUGCUUUGGUGCCUUCGGGAACUCUGAGACAGGUGCUGCAUGGCUGUCGUCAGCUCGUGUUGUGAAAUGUUGGGUUAAGUCCCGCAACGAGCGCAACCCUUAUCCUUUGUUGCCAGCGGUCCGGCCGGGAACUCAAAGGAGACUGNCAGUGAUAAACUGGAGGAAGGUGGGGAUGACGUCAAGUCAUCAUGGGCCUUACGAGUAGGGCUACACACGUGCUACAAUGGCGCAUACAAAAGAGAACGACCUCGCGAGAGCAAAGCGGACCUCAUAAAGUGCGUCGUANUCCGGAUUGGGAGUCUGCAACUCGANUCCAUGAAGUCGGAAUCGCUANUAAUCGUAGAUCAGAAUGCCNCCGUGAAUACCUUUCCCGGGUCUUGUNCACACCGGAAAAAAA